GUCAAGAACUCGCCGCUAAACCCUAUGCGCUUUUCGCGCAGCAGGCUUCGCCAACGGGUUAAGCGCGGGAGCUUGUAAAAAGGCUCUAACUUGACCAGACUCAGCCCUUUUUGGGGCUACGUUAUUUGGCUCACGAAACCCAUGAAUGCGUGCCAGUUUGCGGCUCUUUCGUACAGUUUUAAACAGGCGUAACGAGUUAAGCCAGUGAACUAUACCUAACAAGGCUAAAUAACAUUGUCGAGGCAAACUUUAC
Limnoraphis robusta CS-951 is the source of this 253-nucleotide non-coding RNA. It matches the Rfam family "HNH endonuclease-associated RNA and ORF (HEARO) RNA". The record is from Rfam. NCBI's taxonomy places the organism in Bacteria, Bacillati, Cyanobacteriota, Cyanophyceae, Oscillatoriales, Sirenicapillariaceae.